This 4477-nucleotide long non-coding RNA is filed under the name Mytilus galloprovincialis (Mediterranean mussel). Lineage: Eukaryota; Metazoa; Mollusca; Bivalvia; Mytilida; Mytilidae. The record is from RNAcentral.
UUUCAUAUCAUUGGUGACAGUCUUAUUUUUUACUGAUUAUGGCUUAAAUUCAGGUAGUAAUUAUGAGUUUGAUUUUUGUACCCAUUUGAUUUUUGUCCAUGAAAGUGAGUAGUAAAUUAAGAAAAGAUCUUUUCUUAGAAUAAAGGGAAACUGCAAAUCUGUGUUAAUCCUUGAAUAGAUGGUUGCUUUCAGCACUGCUUUCAAAUGCAGAUUAUAUAAAUAAAUUAAUGUUUAGUUCAUUUAAAGUUGCACAAUUUUCAAAUGUAAGUAAUUGCUUUAAUUUUGGAUUACUCCCUUGGUUUCUUCUUCCUCUGUUUUCAGUUUGAAAUUUGACAAAAUAUAGAUGUUAAGACCAGCUUUUGACCAUCUUUGUCCCUUCUUCUUUUGUACACUCAUAAACAUUCAGGGUUAUCUCAUUUAGUAAAUGCUUCAUGGUAUAUUGUAUAUGUAUGUAUCAUAUUAUUUUGGGCAUUCUCUUUAUAUUUUAACCUAUAUAUUGUAGUAUUUAUUGUGAAUAGAUUUCAUCAUUUCUGUUAAACACAAUAACCACUGAAAACAGUUUUUGGUUCCUCUCUUUCUGGAUUUACUGUAUAUUUAUAUAGUUCUUAUGCAAGAUUUGAAGGGUUAAGAUACAUGUUUAACAUUAUAUAACAACUGUUGUUCCUCAAUUAAAAAACAUGUUUUUUUGUCACAUUACCGCUAAAAUCUCAUUUAAAAGCUUUUGAUAAAAUUCAUAAUACUAUGUUUAUAUCCUCAUAUAAGAUGUUGACAGCUAGAUCUAUGUUUUAACAUUGUAUACUCUGCUAAAAUAUUAUAUCUUUAGGAGCUUUCCUUUUAUCUUGGGUGCUUUGUAUCUAAAUGUGCAGUAUUAAUGCAUAUUGAAUUAUUUUGGGUUAAUCAUAGCCCCCAAUAUUAUUGAAUAUUUCACAUCUAUUUGUUAUGAAUUCGUUUUGGGUAAAUAGUCGACUGAUAUUCUGAUCAUGCUUUACUCUAACCAAACUGAUAUAUUAGAAGACUAUUGACCUGCUCUAUCUGUUUCUUCUUUCUGUACUUAAAAUAUUCAUCGUCAUUGAUACUCAUAUUGUGAUAUCAACACUUUCAGUUUUCAGACCAGAGCUAUAUCAUAAAUAUUUAGAAGGAAUCCACCUCAUGUUGUGUACACAUUGGGAUAAUUUGUUGAUUUGUUCAAUUAGAAUAUUAUGUAUGGAACAGAUACAUUGAAUAAAUAAUGCAAAAGAACUUUAUUUUACUCCUAAUUGUUUAAAAGGGUUGUUAGUAAAACAAGUGCCAUAGAAAUACAGGAAUUAUCUUCCCAUUGCAGUUGCCUAUAUAAAAGCGAAAUUUAUCAAUGAUUGUAUUCCUGUUUUUGAUAGUUAAAUAUUCCAAAACAGUUAAAUUAUAUGAAAAUACUAUCUUAUAGAAAUCAUAUCUUUUUUAAGAACUAGCAAGAUCCAUCUCAAUUGUUAUGUUGGUUUGGAAACCAUUAAAAUACUUGAAAAGUCAAUUUCAGAAGAAAGGUGGCAAACUGAAGUUUUUAUCUCACAAAUUUGUUUCUCAGUAGAGAAUUUUGAUAUUGGCUUGCAAUAAUACUUUAAUGGUCAUUUUAUUUAUCUAACAUACUGAUGGGCAUUGUAAUCAGAUCUGUACCAGUCAAGAAAUAUAAGAUAAAAAUUCAUUCAUGUUCUUUUCUAUUAUCCAUUAUCAUUUAAAAAAAAUAUGGAAAUAAUAGGGGCAUUGUUUGAUGUGCAUGUUGUAAUAAUGUACACUGGAAAGAAAUGUCAUCCUUAUUUUGGAAUUUCGGAUACAAGCAUUUAUGAUUAUAUCUCAUACAUUGAAACUUGUGUUGUAAGUGGUUUUGUCAUUUAAAGAUUUAAAGGUUUAGCUAACAAUAGUCUAUAGAAAAAGAGACUGGUGUUUAGAUUAAAAUUAAAAAGUAUGCUCAAUAGUUUUUUACAAGUAUGCAUGUCUUAAUAUACUGGGUAAUCAAAUGUAUUUGUAUGCUAGUCAGAUUGAGUGUACUUUGAAAUGAGAUUUAUUUUUUGUUCAUGUUUUAUAUUAGUAAAAUUUGUUAGGACAUUUGGGAUAUGGUAAUUUGUUUGUUAAAUGUUUUAUAUGUAAUACUUUUAUUUAUCAUAUUGUUAGGAAUUGGUAUUUUUAGUAUUUGAAAAAAUAACACUCACAGUCGAUGCAAGACAGAUUUGCCUAAUGAUAUGUAUGUAAUACACAUGUACAGUAUGAUUAAUGUUUAAAUUUGUAAAACUAUCACAGGGAAAAUAAAUCAGUACGAUUCAGAAUUAAAGCUAUUAUCUGUACCCAAUAAAAAUAAAACGGGUUUGAUGCAUGGCCUUUGAUAUUAGCGGGCAAUUUGUUUUCCAAGUUUAUUCAUCUGUCCUUAUAAAGGUAAAAGUUUUGGUUUAAAAUGUUAAACAAAAUUUGAAGUUGUGGUCAAGUCAUACAACCUUGAAAAUGAGUUUACAUAUAUGGAAUCAUGUGGGAAAACAUGCCUGUGUAUGAAGAUCAAUGCCAAGUUAAAAUUAGACCAAGAAUUCCAGGUUCACUAAACAUGGAAAAUGUUUCAGGAUUAGUUUUUGUGUAAGUUAAUGGGAUAUAAGGUUUAUGACCAAGUUUUAAUGGUUCACUUAAUAUAGAAAUGUAUUAGGUUAAGUGCUUGUUUAGGGUAGUUUAUUAUUAAGUUGUAGUCACAUCAACUUGAAACAUGCAAAAAAGAGUAGUACACAUGUUAAGUAUUUUUAUGAUGCCAAAUCAAAAAAAGUAAUGUUUUUAACCAGAUUGUAUUGUUAAAUGAACAUGAAAAUUUGAAUGUGAGAGAAGGGCAUGGUUCCAAUUGACACAUAUUUUUGUUUACCCUCUGCUUUAAUGAAACAACGGAAACUGUAGUAUCUGUUAUUGACACGUAAGCUGGCUUCUGAAAAGCUGCUGUUAAAAAUGCUUAAAUUUUAUACUCAUUGAAUGUGCAAAAAGCUUGGUCAAAGUAUAUAUCUAAUUCUUAUUAAUACAACUCUACUCAGCAAGUGCUAGUUGUAUUAAUAUUGCAUAAUUUAUAUUUUAUAUUGCUAUAGAUGAAUAGAUAAUUAUAAUUGUAUGAUAAUGAUUUCAGUCGCAUUUGAUUAAUGUGUUUUGUUGAUGAGCUUUUUAUGAAAUUAAAAAACUGUGAUAAAAUUUUGAUUAAACAGGACCCUAAUUGUAAUCAUAAUCAAAUUAUGAAGUAACAUAUUUUUUGUAGGUUUUUGUCCCAUAAACAUGUCUUGAUAGUGUUUAGGUCCACAAGGUACUGUUCUUGUCUUGCAUAGUGGGAGACACUAACAUUUUAAAAGAUAAUUGUGUUAGAUUUUAGUUAGUAGUAGAGGUUAAAAAUGAAUUGAGGAUUAUUUAAAAGGUUAAUUUAUACUCACUGAUUAUAUGUGCAAUAGUGUUGACAUAUUUCCUGACUGUUAGACAUUUUAUGGUGUUUGGCCAAGGAGUAAAAUUCUCGUUUGUUUAUAAAGUAAUGUCAUAAUGUCAUUUACAGAAUUUCCAAAUUGCUUUACAUGAUUUUUUAUGCCUUGGUUUAAUUCUAGAUUAUAGAUGUAGGAGGCAUGUUAUUGAAAAUAUUUAACAGUUUUGGCAUAUAUGAUUGGUUUUUAUGAUGUAGAUGAAAGUUCAUGUUAGAAAAUGUUUAUUAUGUAUUUCAAGAUGUGAUUUGAAAAAUUAAGUCUUGAAGGAAGAUAUCUAUUUAACUUCAAAUUUCUUCUGAUGCAAUGUAUAACUUUUUACUGACUGAAACAUUGUUUUUUUUAUUCAUGUAUGUUUCAUAGAAAUGCUACAAUUUUGAAAUGUAGAUUAGAUUAUUUAUUUCUUAUAUAUCGCUCUAGGCAUUACAGUUGCUUGUCUGUUUAUAUCAAUUUUUUAAAAGUUAAUAUUCCAUUAGAAGAACAUCCGUAACAUUUUCAUUUAUAUCAAAUACUAGAAAUUACUCAAAAUUAAUGAAUAAAAUCGUAUUUAAUGUUAUUGAAAAGAAAUACAGUCAAGGUUAGCAAAAGUUAGAAUAAAGUCACAGAAUAGGAAUUGAUUCUUGGAUGUCAAAAUCAUGAUAGUCCAGGCUUUCUUUUAUAAUGUAUCUGAUGAAAUUUUGAUUUAAAAAACAUUUGAAUACACAUCUUAUGCUUUUACAGGUCAGAGAAUAUUCUUUGUUGAAUCAUGGAAUACGAUUUAUUUUUUUCCAUUUGUAAUUAUUAUAUGAAAAUGUUAUUUUGAUUUAUAACAAUUAUUUGAAUAAUAUUUGUCAUGUCCAUUGUAGUAUUGACAUACUGUAGGUAAACAAAAUUGAAAGAGUAUCUAAUUCACAUAUGCACAGAAAAGUACUAUUUGAAACCUUUAUUUAUACUGCUGUUUAUGUUUAUACUUGCAUUUAUUUGUUUUCUUUAUUAUAAAGGAAUUUCAAGUAUGUCAACUUUCCUAAUAAAUAAAAAUUAUACAA